UACGUAGGUGGCAAGCGUUGUCCGGAUUUACUGGGCGUAAAGAGCGCGCAGGCGGUCGGAUUAGUCGCGUGUGAAAGCCCCCGGCUCAACUGGGGAGGGUCACGCGAUACUGUUCGACUCGAAGGCAGGAGAGGGAAGUGGAAUUCCCGGUGUAGUGGUGAAAUGCGUAGAUAUCGGGAGGAACACCAGUGGCGAAGGCGACUUCCUGGCCUGUUCUUGACGCUGAGGCGCGAAAGCGUGGGGAGCGAACAGG
RNAcentral lists this ribosomal RNA (253 nucleotides) under uncultured bacterium. RNAcentral describes it as "partial 16S ribosomal RNA". It matches the Rfam family "Bacterial small subunit ribosomal RNA", at positions 524 to 776 of the family's 1533-position model. The record is from RNAcentral.